GGGCCCGUAGCUCAGUUGGUAGAGCAGCUGACUCUUAAUCAGUAGGUCACAGGUUCGAAUCCUGUCGGGCCCACCA
Molecule: transfer RNA, 76 nt
Filed under: Paracoccaceae bacterium
Lineage: Bacteria; Pseudomonadati; Pseudomonadota; Alphaproteobacteria; Rhodobacterales; Paracoccaceae
Description: Rhodobacteraceae bacterium tRNA-Lys
Rfam family: tRNA
About the family: Transfer RNA (tRNA) molecules are approximately 80 nucleotides in length.
Source: RNAcentral